This 497-nucleotide ribosomal RNA is filed under the name uncultured bacterium. Its description in RNAcentral is "partial 16S ribosomal RNA". It matches the Rfam family "Bacterial small subunit ribosomal RNA", at positions 28 to 507 of the family's 1533-position model. The record is from RNAcentral.
GAUGAACGCUGGCGGCGUGCCUAAUACAUGCAAGUCGAGCGAACAGAUGAGGAUCUUGCUUCUCUGACGUUAGCGGCGGACGGGUGAGUAACACGUGGAUAACCUGCCUAUAAGACUGGGAUAACUUCGGGAAACCUGAUCUAAUACCGGAUAAUAUAUUGAACCGCAUGGUUCAAUAGUGAAAGACGGUUUUGCUGUCACUUAUAGAGGGAUCCGCGCCGCAUUAGCUAGUUGGUAAGGUAACGGCUUACCAAGGCAACGAUGCGUAGCCGACCUGAGAGGGUGAUCGGCCACACUGGAACUGAGACACGGUCCAGACUCCUACGGGAGGCAGCAGUAGGGAAUCUUCCGCAAUGGGCGAAAGCCUGACGCAGCCACGCCGCGUGAGUGAUGAAGGUCUUCGGAUCGUAAAACUCUGUUAUUAGGGAAGAACAAAUGUGUAAGUAACUAUGCACGUCUUGACGGUACCUAAUCAGAAAGCCACGGCUAACUACGUG